Cyprinus carpio (common carp) is the source of this 887-nucleotide long non-coding RNA. RefSeq lists it as uncharacterized. NCBI's taxonomy places the organism in Eukaryota, Metazoa, Chordata, Actinopteri, Cypriniformes, Cyprinidae. The record is from RefSeq and is a predicted model, not a curated record. The transcript is spliced from 2 exons.
UGUAUCUACUAAUGUAUUUUCAUUUUUUUUUUUAUUAUUUCCUUAUAGAGGAAUAAUAUGUAAUAGUGUAUAAAAAGUCUGUUAAGACUGGGAAAGCUGUUAAAUGGGCUCAUUCAGACUGUCUAACCCAUUUGUUAUGAAUCUCUAGAGUAAACGAAACAAUGAGUUGUUACAUUUUUGUUGUGUAUAUUUUUUUUUUUUAAAUCUCCAUUUAUUUGUUACUUUAAAUCUCCUUAAAAAGGAAUAAUACACAAUUGUGUGUGGUCUAUUAAGAUAGACAAUUAUGCAAUCUUGGAUGUAGUCUUUUGAUAAGAUGUGUAUAUGGCAUGUCUUCCUGUGGUUGGGUAGAGGAGUAGCUAACCUUUGCCUUUCCUAGUCCUUCAGUGGACAGCAAUAUUGUUGGUAGACUUUCUUCAGUCUGUAUGGUUGGGGGUUACACCUGGUUGCUAAGUAAUUUAACUGUAGAGUUGUUUAUUUUGUGUAUAAUUUUUUCUUUUAUUGUAUUUAAUUCUUUCUUUGAUUUAUAAAUUACUUUUCUGUAUGCUAUACCUGAUGUUAUGCAAAAUCUAGUGAAAUUAGUGGGGGUGAGUGUAACGAGGUUAAAAUAGGUUGAUUUCACUAGAUUUUCUUGUUAUGCAUUCAGUGUUAUUCUAUAAUUGUUGAAACCAGUGUUUGUAAAAAUAAAUCUAAUAAAAGGGUCUGUAAGGAGGUAAUGGGUUCACCCCCCCCCCCCCUUUGUCAACGAAAUGGUUCAGUCCAGACAGCCAUACCUGCUGAUUGUUCUUUUAGCGGUCUUUUCCUGCUCUCUCCUGAACGGAAGAGUGUUACUGAUGUGAGCUGAAGCUGUUGUGACGACCUGUCUAUAUAAAAAUACAUUCUCUAUGCAG